This 435-nucleotide unclassified non-coding RNA is filed under the name Zea mays. Its description in RNAcentral is "misc RNA Zm00001eb263560". Lineage: Eukaryota; Viridiplantae; Streptophyta; Magnoliopsida; Poales; Poaceae. The record is from RNAcentral.
AUGCUGGCGGAAUGCUCGAGCUGCUCGCGCGGCGAGAGCGGGCCGCCGCGUGCCGGGCGGGGGAUGGACCGGGAACGGCCCCCUCGGGGGCCUUCCCCGGGCGUCGAACAACCGACUCAGAACUGAAUCCAAGCUAGCAACCGGCGCCUCUGCUCGCCGCCCGCCCCGACCCACGUUAGGGCGUUCGCGCCCCAAGGGCCCGUGCCAUUGGCUCAGCCCGCCCGGCCGACGCGCCGCGGCGGGCCGCCUCGAAGCUCCCUUCCCAACGGGCGGCGUGCUGAAUCCUUUGCAGACGACUUAAAACGCGAUAGGGGCAUUGUCUCCUCGGCCGAGCCCCGCACCCCCUCGCGGCCUAGCCGUGGCCGGUCGGCACCCUACCGCGCCCAGCUCCGGCUGGCGCUGUUGGCUUCCUGGCCGGCCGUGGUUCGGCCGUGA